Fundulus heteroclitus (mummichog) is the source of this 2846-nucleotide long non-coding RNA. RefSeq lists it as uncharacterized. NCBI's taxonomy places the organism in Eukaryota, Metazoa, Chordata, Actinopteri, Cyprinodontiformes, Fundulidae. The record is from RefSeq and is a predicted model, not a curated record. The transcript is spliced from 2 exons.
GGACGUUUGCCUUUCUAUGCAGGAUUUAAUAACACCAGCCAGCUCUCUGGGAAUAUCUCACAACAAGGACUCUCAGGCAAAAGUUUGGACCUCUCAAGUUUUGUAGAUGAACUGAACCACAUAGAGAUGGAUGAACCCCAGACAGACUGGAUGAUGACAAUGUAGAAGCCCAGACUUUCACUUAGCCAGUCCAACCUUAAUUGGUUUUUAACCAUUCAGAGGUAGAUUUGCUAGUAUUCUUUGGAUCACAAACCUGGUACAAAGUGAUGACUUAGAAUUCUCUUUCAGGAUUUCUUGCUGGAGAAGAGAAAACGGUUUCAUCAUCACUUACAACAAUGUUGAGGUCCUGAGGUACUAAAGAACCUGCAGACUAUCUGCAACCACCAUGUUUGGCUGUCGGAAUGAUGUUCUUCUUCUGAAAUGCUGUGUUAAUUUUAAACACUGUGUAUAGUUAACACAUCCUUCAUUCCUUCCUCAAACAAGAAGAUUUUCAUUUGGCUUUGUGGAACUUAUGGAUUCUUGAGUUGAAUUGCAUCCCUGUUUGCCUCAUAUUUUGCUUGUUUUAGAUGUAGACAUCCAAAACAACUUGUAGUUUCUACAAACAUGAGUUAUAGUGUACUGAGCCCCUAAAGGGACAUUGAAGGGAAAUAAAGAAUAAAAAAAAACUUUCAUGCCCACCAGAUACAUGAGAAUGUAUCUGGUGGGCACCAGAAUUAUUAUUUUUUUUAACUUUAGGGGCAAUAAUGUCCCUAAAGGGACAAUGAAGCUUUGUAAUAGUGAUACAGCAUGAGGGCGGGUUUAAAUUAAUGUGGGACACCUACCUUCCAAAACAUUCUACUUUUGUUUCAUCAGUCUACUUAACACAUUUCCAAAAAUGAAAAAUGUUAGUUUUCAUCAAGAUGUUUUUUUUUUUGUGUGGCAAAUAUCAGAUAAGCCUUUGUGUUUGUUUGGCCAGCUGUGGUUUCUGCCCGUGAACUCUCCAAUGGAUGGCACAUUUGCUUAGUCUGUUUUUUAUUGUUGAAUAAUGAAUACUGUGCUUAACUGUGGCAAAUGAGGUCUGCAGUGCUGUAGAUGUUGCUUUGGGUUCAAAUUUGACCUCCUGGAAAACACACUCUAGCAGUAACUUUGGCUAGAUGGCCACACCUGGGAAGGUUCACCAAAGUUCCAUGUUUUCUUCUUUGUGAAUAACGACUCUUCCUGUGGUUUGCUGAAGUCCAAAAGACAAAGAAAUGAUUGUAACCAAUUCCAGGAUAAUAGACAUCAACGUAGGUUUCUCUUCAUUUGAACAUCUUCAGAUCUCAAUAAUGUAUUGCUUUUUAAGGAUCUUUUAUUCUGCUUCAUGUUGUCAAAAAGGUGAUUUUAUAAGUGAUGUUUUCAACUGACAGGUCUGGCAGUAAUCAGCACUGAAACUAGACUUCAAAUUUCGAACGGUGUGAUUAAUCACAGUUAACCAAUGGUGUAUUGACAAGGAAACUUACUUUUUCACAUGCAGACAGGUGGGUUUGGAUAUUUUUCCUUUAAUAAAAAAAAAUAUUCAGAAACUGCUUCUUGAAUUUAUUUAGGUUUCCUUUGUCUGAUAUUAAAAUUAGUUUGAUCUGAAAAAAGAAAGUGUGACAAAAAAAAGCAAGUGCUUUUUUCACAGCACUGUAAAGAAGUCGAAUCACUUCAGUUUGCAUGGUGGUGGCAGUCAGUGAGUCAGUCAGGGAAUUAGACAGGAUUCAAUGUCAGACCACUUAACAUGCUUUAUUUCAGCAUUCAAAAUAAUUAAAAACAUCUCAAUUUAUUAUACAUAUACAAAAUAGGUACAGAUCUGAUUUUUUUUCCCCAUGGGUGUGUCUUUCUAACUCACAAACUUUUUUUAUGCCUCCCUUUCCGGGGACUGUUUCAAAUCUCUGAUUCCAAUUUGCUGGUGAGGAAAAGUCACCUGUUCCGCAAGAGAACAAGAAACAAAGUACAACAGAUGCAUGACUGAAAAAAUGAUUGAGAAGUCGUAGUAGAAAGCUGGAAAGCAAAAACUAAAAAAGUUUUACUGCCACCAUGAUCAGACAGAAGAAGUCUGUCUCAUUCUGGGCACCAAGAAUUAAAGCUGUAGUUUCAGUUUUAGCACCAAGAGGGAGCUGUCGUGCCAGAAUGACUAUAUCACUAGAGCCAUACUAGACAGCCAACAGACCUCAAAGAAAAAAAUAGCACCUUAAGUUUAGGUUCUGCUUCUGUUAAAAGUGUCAGUAACCCUCGACUACCCCACCGACCGCCACAAUGAAAACAGGUUUCCUUUCAAAUACUCGGGGCCCUUUUAAAAAUGCUGGAAUGUCUUUCAUUUCUGAGGUAGCCAUAACAUUUUUUUUCUUUCAUAAAGGAGGUUUAAACCCAUGUUUCUCUGUAGGUGGUUUUAAUGCAAUGUUUCUUUAGAAAAGAAAAAAAAAACAAGGAGAAAGACAGAAACAAGAUAUCAACCACAAAACAAAUGCAUCACAACAACAGUGGGGGGUUGGUGGGGGCAAUGUUGGCCUUGCCAAGAGCAGGUGGAGCAGAGGAGGGCAGAACAACAAAGACAACGAUGGCUGUCAGUUUCACCGUUUAUUCAUCAACACCUGAAACGUGGUACAAAGCAAUUGGAUUCUGUCUGUUGUGACUGUCCUUUCAUUCCUCAGAGCGCAGAGGUGUAUCAAAUACAAAAAGUCACUUGUGUUUUUCUGUAAACUCCAGAGAGGCCUGGUUUGGCUGAAAUGAGAGGGGAUGGUGUUUUUUUUCUUUACACUUUACAGAGGCAUAUAUUAUUUUCUUGUUGCCAGCGAAACAAAACGUCUUGUCUACAGGAUCCUUGGUGUUGGUGAUGGCAAAAAAAA